ACAUCAACUCUAGUUCCUGCGGCGCGUUACUCUUGAGUAGACCGGGUGUUGCGUCUCGUCUCCCUGUCAAGUCUGGACUGCAUUUCAGAUCCACCACGACCAACCUUGCUUUGUUUCCUUGCCUUGUCUUGUUAUCCCUGCCUUGGACUUUGAACCUGGAACUCUUGUGAAAGACCUUGCUUUAUUCCCCACUCAAACUACUUGGAAAUUUGAGUGUGUUUCGGUUAUUGGAUUUGAAAACUUGAACUCUAAUACUGGACAUUAAACUUUAUAUUACUGGACUAUUGUCACGACCCAGGCUGCAGAGCACCAAUAACCAUACACAGAGGCCAGAAUCUAUCUAAUAUCUUUAUUAAGGGAAUAUAUAAAGUUAAUAAAAGCAAGUGUAGGAAAUAGUUCAGAAGUAGACCUUUCAGGGAAGGUCAAAAUUAGUCCAAAGAAACAAUGUCCAAUAUGAAAUAUUAAGGUCCAAAGUUGUAAUCCAAUAACCGAAACACUCACUUUGCCAAGCAAAGUGAGGGGAGAUGACAAGGUCCUUUAGUCCAUGAAACUUGAGCAAGGCUAGGAAGUAACUUGAUUCUUGGAACACAAGGCUUGAAACAAGGCAACAAGAAACGAGGAGCAAGAACAAGAUCCGUGGUAAUUACUUGGCAAGGCUAGGAAGUAACUUGAUUCUUGGAACACAAGGCUUGAAACAAGGCAACAAGAAACGAGGAGCAAGAACAAGAUCCGUGGUAAUUACUUGGCAAGGUCCGGGAAGGGAGCGGAGGCUUGGAAACAGGAACGAGGCUUGGAAACAGGAACGAGGCUUGGAAGCGGGAGUAGCGCUGUCCACACACACUACUCCAGUAGCUGACGAAUUGACUCCGCAAGAUUCCUAAAGGGCAAGGAACCUAAAUAGGUUCUCGUUUUCCCACCAAAGAACACUUCUCUGGGGAAUCAGAACCGAAAGUCAAUCUCUGUGCCCAGAUGUAUGACUCCCUAAAAUUUCUCAUGGAAGCAGGCUUAAUCAUCUGAAUGCUUUGCUGCGAUUCUCAGGCUUCUGCGAUUAGCCUGCUGAACUCCUUUUUGUUGCUG
Molecule: long non-coding RNA, 1077 nt
Filed under: Anolis carolinensis (green anole)
Lineage: Eukaryota; Metazoa; Chordata; Lepidosauria; Squamata; Anolidae
Description: lncRNA (ENSACAG00000040940.1)
Source: RNAcentral